RNAcentral lists this ribosomal RNA (325 nucleotides) under uncultured bacterium. Its description in RNAcentral is "bacterial SSU rRNA". It matches the Rfam family "Bacterial small subunit ribosomal RNA", at positions 1179 to 1505 of the family's 1533-position model. The record is from RNAcentral.
AUGACGUCAAUCAUCAUGCCCCUUAUGACCUGGGCUACACACGUGCUACAAUGGCUGGUACAACGAGUCGCGAGUCGGUGACGGCAAGCUAAUCUCUUAAAGCCAGUCUCAGUUCGGAUUGUAGGCUGCAACUCGCCUACAUGAAGUCGGAAUCGCUAGUAAUCGCGGAUCAGCACGCCGCGGUGAAUACGUUCCCGGGCCUUGUACACACCGCCCGUCACACCACGAGAGUUUGUAACACCCGAAGUCGGUGAGGUAACCAUUUGGAGCCAGCCGCCUAAGGUGGGAUAGAUGAUUGGGGUGAAGUCGUAACAGGUAACCGUAA